AUGAUAAGUGCGAGCAUGCCUCGAACAGUUGGGUACAUGGCAUCAGAGUACAUGUCACUUGGAAAAGCAUCGCGGAAGAGCAACGUCUUCAGCUAUGGGAUCAUGCUCCUUGAACUCUUCACUGGAAAGCAGCCCACUGCCACUAUGUUUGGCGCACAAUUAACGCUCAGGCGGUGGGUUCAUGAGGCAUAUCCUGCAGAGCUUGUCAAGGUCGUCGAUGGACAGCUACUACAUGGCUCCUCUCUUUCUAGCUGCACCUUGGACGAUGGGUUUCUUGCUUCAGUAUUUGAGUUGGGUUUGAUUUGUUCUAGCGACUCUCCUGACCAGCGAAUGACGAUGCAAGAUGUGGUCGUGACACUGAAGAAGGUCAAAGCUGAGUACACUAAACGGACAGCAAAAACAUGA
RNAcentral lists this ribosomal RNA (405 nucleotides) under Triticum aestivum (bread wheat). RNAcentral's name for it is "partial small subunit ribosomal RNA". Lineage: Eukaryota; Viridiplantae; Streptophyta; Magnoliopsida; Poales; Poaceae. The record is from RNAcentral.